RNAcentral lists this ribosomal RNA (460 nucleotides) under uncultured bacterium. RNAcentral's name for it is "partial 16S ribosomal RNA". It matches the Rfam family "Bacterial small subunit ribosomal RNA", at positions 338 to 795 of the family's 1533-position model. The record is from RNAcentral.
CCUACGGGUGGCAGCAGUGAGGAAUAUUGGUCAAUGGGCGCGAGCCUGAACCAGCCAAGUAGCGUGAAGGAUGACUGCCCUACGGGUUGUAAACUUCUUUUAUAGAGGAAUAAAGUGAGGCACGUGUGCCUUUUUGCAUGUACUUUAUGAAUAAGGAUCGGCUAACUCCGUGCCAGCAGCCGCGGUAAUACGGAGGAUCCGAGCGUUAUCCGGAUUUAUUGGGUUUAAAGGGAGCGUAGAUUGUUUGUUAAGUCAGUUGUGAAAGUUUGUGGCUCAACCGUAAAAUUGCAAUUGAUACUGGCAGACUUGAGUACAUUUGAGGUAGGCGGAAUGCGUGGUGUAGCGGUGAAAUGCAUAGAUAUCACGAAGAACUCCGAUUGCGAAGGCAGCUUACUAAGCUGCCACUGACAUUGAUGCUCGAAAGUGUGGGGAUCAAACAGGAUUAGAUACCCUGGUAGUC